GACGGAGGGUGCAAGCGUUGCUCGGAAUCAUUGGGCGUAAAGGGUGCGUAGGCGGCCCGCCAAGUCUGCCGUGAAAGCCCAGGGCUCAGCCCUGGAAGGGCGGUAGAAACUGGGGGGCUGGAGUGCCGGAGGGGAGAGUGGAAUUCCCGGUGUAGCGGUGAAAUGCGUAGAUAUCGGGAGGAAUACCGGUGGCGAAAGCGACUCUCUGGACGGCAACUGACGCUGAGGCACGAAAGCGUGGGGAGCAAACAGG
Molecule: ribosomal RNA, 253 nt
Filed under: uncultured bacterium
Lineage: Bacteria
Description: partial 16S ribosomal RNA
Rfam family: Bacterial small subunit ribosomal RNA
Source: RNAcentral